AAAGAGUAAUGAAAAGAAACCCACAUUUCAAGGAAUAGCAUAUCUAUCUAUUGUUGCACUAUAAUUUUUUAACAAAAGCGGCACAUUAGAAACCAUUUUCUCAAAUAAAAAAUUGAUUUUACAUUGAAAACUGUCAACGAUGAACAAUAAACAGUGCAUUCGUAUGACAACAAGAUAUGGACAAGUUAAUUCGUACGCUAGAAUUGUUCUCAAAUGUUUACAGAUAGGUUUGAUAUAUUUCAAAAUCUUUAUUUGUCACUAUUUUUUACAGUAUCAUCAACAAAGCAGCAUAAAAAAUUCAGUGAAGCCGUUAACAUUGUAAGAAUAAAAUAAUAUUCCGAAAAAAAAAGAAAGGAGCCUACAGCACCCCGGAUUCCCAUGUUGUCUCCAACCAUAGUACUAACGAGGCCCUCAGACGCUUAACUGCAGUGAUCGGACGGGAACUGGUGUUUUCGCCUAGGUGUG
Schizosaccharomyces pombe (fission yeast) is the source of this 465-nucleotide non-coding RNA. Lineage: Eukaryota; Fungi; Ascomycota; Schizosaccharomycetes; Schizosaccharomycetales; Schizosaccharomycetaceae. The record is from the annotation of a GenBank genome assembly.